Molecule: transfer RNA, 88 nt
Filed under: Chlamydia trachomatis
Lineage: Bacteria; Pseudomonadati; Chlamydiota; Chlamydiia; Chlamydiales; Chlamydiaceae
Description: tRNA-Asn(gtt)
Source: RNAcentral
GGAUGGUUUGCCUAGUGGUCGAAGGCAGCAGGCCGUUAACCUGCCAGGGUAGUCCUCACCGUCCGUCCGAAUCGGACACCAUCCGCCA